Molecule: long non-coding RNA, 694 nt
Filed under: Homo sapiens (human)
Lineage: Eukaryota; Metazoa; Chordata; Mammalia; Primates; Hominidae
Description: HSALNT0179324
Source: RNAcentral
AUUGUUCCACCAGCAGAAGUAAAAAGCUAUUAGCUUUUUAAAAUUUCUGCUCUUAGAACUUAGAUCUCUGGAAAGGAUUUCUGAAUUUUAGGUGGUAGGCUGAACUGAAAUAUAUUGGUGGUCUCAAAUCUGGCUCUGCAUCGGACUCACUAGGAGAAUGUUAGAAAAAUAGAUUUCCUAGACCUCACCUUCAGAAAUUCUAAAUCUGGCGCAAGGCCCUGGGAAUUGGUAGUUCUAAAAAGCUCUUAGAUGAUUUUGAAGUGCAGCCAUCCAUUAGCUCUGGCAACAUCUUUUUACCUCACUUUGCUUUAGUUUUUCCAUCCAGGGACUCCAGUACUUAAAAAUUCUUCACCGGUGCAGUUAGUAAGAAGCACUUGAAGAGCUAUUUUACAGUUCUUCUGCUUUGGCCUUUCUCUUAGAGACUCUGAAUCAGUAGGGGCUGAGAGACUCUGAAUCAGUAGGGGCUGAGAUGAGUCUUUUGAGAAAACUCCACAGACUAUUGAUCCAAUUUUGCAUUUAGCCAAGAGUCAUCACACUGGGUGGUUUCUAAGGUCCUUUACAGUUAAAAACUUGAAUAAUAGAUGUCAUAUAGCACUAGGAUUUAAAAAGUCUAAAUAAAAAAGGUAGAGAAGAAAAAUGUGUUGUCUCCUCCCUAAUCUUCAAGUGGCCAUACUAUUAAAUUAUUUAAAUGCCU